CGGAACGGGUGAGUAAUGCGUGACCAACCUGCCCCAUGCUCCAGAAUAGCUCUUGGAAACGGGUGGUAAUGCUGGAUGCUCCAACUUGACGCAUGUCUUGUUGGGAAAGUGUUUAGUGGCAUGGGAUGGGGUCGCGUCCUAUCAGCUUGUAGGCGGGGUAAUGGCCCACCUAGGCUUCGACGGGUAGCCGGCCUGAGGGGGCGGACGGCCACAUUGGGACUGAGAUACGGCCCAGACUCCUACGGGAGGCAGCAGCG
RNAcentral lists this ribosomal RNA (257 nucleotides) under uncultured Gardnerella sp. Its description in RNAcentral is "partial 16S ribosomal RNA". It matches the Rfam family "Bacterial small subunit ribosomal RNA", at positions 98 to 356 of the family's 1533-position model. The record is from RNAcentral. Lineage: Bacteria; Bacillati; Actinomycetota; Actinomycetes; Bifidobacteriales; Bifidobacteriaceae.